GACGAACGCUGGCGGCGUGCUUAACACAUGCAAGUCGAACGGAAAGGCCCUGCUUGCAGGGUACUCGAGUGGCGAACGGGUGAGUAACACGUGGGUGAUCUGCCCUGCACUUCGGGAUAAGCCUGGGAAACUGGGUCUAAUACCGGAUAGGAGCCAUUUUUAGUGUGAUGGUUGGAAAGUUUUUUCGGUGUAGGAUGAGCUCGCGGCCUAUCAGCUUGUUGGUGGGGUAAUGGCCUACCAAGGCGGCGACGGGUAGCCGGCCUGAGAGGGUGGACGGCCACAUUGGGACUGAGAUACGGCACAGACACCUACGGGAGGCAGCAGUGGGGAAUAUUGCACAAUGGGCGCAAGCCUGAUGCAGCGACGCCGCGUGGGGGAUGACGGCCUUCGGGUUGUAAACUCCUUUCGCUAGGGACGAAGCUUUUUGUGACGGUACCUAGAUAAGAAGCACCGGCUAACUACGUG
RNAcentral lists this ribosomal RNA (465 nucleotides) under uncultured bacterium. RNAcentral's name for it is "partial 16S ribosomal RNA". It matches the Rfam family "Bacterial small subunit ribosomal RNA", at positions 28 to 507 of the family's 1533-position model. The record is from RNAcentral.